Molecule: long non-coding RNA, 3686 nt
Filed under: Sus scrofa (pig)
Lineage: Eukaryota; Metazoa; Chordata; Mammalia; Artiodactyla; Suidae
Description: lncRNA (ENSSSCG00035052091.1)
Source: RNAcentral
GGGAUGCCGGGGGCUGGGAGCAAGCGGCCAGCUCUCCCCGCAGUGCCACACUUGCCACAGGACUAUGAGGACUCCAAGAGGUCUACUUGCAGACCAGCCAAGGUGGAAGGACAGAACACGCCCCGUGUGUUAAAUACUGUGUUGUUAACAGUUGUUAGCUUGAUGUUUAACUUUUAAAAACUGGGCCUCCAUUUGUACUCUUGGCCUGGACCCCCAGACUUUCGGGUGAGUCCGUCCUGACCUCCUUUUCACUUCUCAGACUCCUCUAACCCCACAGCUCAAGGCCCGGGUGGCCUCAGUCCCCUUCGACAGACCAUCGUGGCCAAGGCUGCUGGACCGCACCCCACCCGGGGCACUUUUUAGGAGCUCCCCUGCCACCCCCACCAUGACUGACAGCCCACACGUGUCUGAAUUGCCAGCAGCUCCAUGGGAGAUACUGCUCGGCUUUUUCAGUUAAGGUGCAUGAUUGUCCCACAGGAACAAGGACUCACCCAUGAGGAAUCUAAACAAGCUUAGGUUUUCUUAAAAAAGGAAAUGUAUUGGCUCCCAGAACCUUGGGGAAAACUAUGACCAGGAACUUAAAAAUCCCAUCAGGACUGUCCUUCCAGCUCUUGCUGCUGUCGUGCAGCCUGUUCUCUCCCUGCAGACCAGUCCCCUCCACGUUGCAGGAAUCACGGCCACGACAGUGUCCAGGUUUAAUCCACAGCUUUAGCUCCAUGGAGAGAUGGACUUCGAGUCCUCUUGGGUCCCAAGACCCAAAUCCUUGGCAAAGGGACUUGCUAACAGAUCUUGGGUCAGCUCUUAUCUCUGCCCAACCAAGUGAAGUCUUGGGCUGGUUCUUCUGAAAAUGGCUGUUCCAGAGUUUCCGCUGUGCCACAGUGGGAUCAGCAGUGUCUCUGCAGCGCUAGACGCAGGUUCGAUCCCUGGCCUGGCACAGUGGGUUAAAGGCUCUGGCGUUGCCACAGCUGCAUUGUAGGUCACACCUGAGGCUCCGAUCUGAUCCCUAGCCCUGGAUAUUUAACGGCUUUGCCAUCCCUGUUGCCAGGAAAAGAGCAGAUUCCAGGUGCGCAGACAAUCCUCAGCAUGUCCCUAAGGUCUGCAGGUGAUUCUGCCGCAGACUCUGACUCUGCUUGCCCGCCCGCCUUUCCUCUCUGCCUCCUUCCUGCCCUGCUUGUCCUUCCUUCCUGACCUGGAUUUGAAUCCUGAGACUUCUGCUUCCCAUGGAAUCCAGGCUCCAGAAGCACAGAGAGGUCCCCGUCCCAGCUCUGCCACCAACUUGCUGAUGGGCCAGAGCAUAUUACUACUUUAUUUCCUGGACCUUAAUUUCCUCAGCUGUUAAAAAGGGAGUGGGGAGCACUUUGCUCCCCAAACAGGUCUCUCCACCUCUGUUUCUGAAUUUUGAGCUAUCAGCCUAACUUCUCGAGGCCUCUUUUCCCACCCUACACCUUUAAACAGUGGAUUUCUCUCUGUUUUAAUGAAGUAUUCAUUUUCAAUCCUUGAUUUUUAGACCAUAACAUUUAAUCUUCGGUACCGCAGCCUGCCUACUUGGCACUGUUUUAAAUUGAGAGCUCCACCUUAAAGCUGUUUUGCUGAGGGCAGUGUUCCCUCUAUUAACUAAUCCUUUGAGGAAAUAAUGCCAUUAUAGGAAGUCAGCAGUGUUCAGAACAAAACCCAUCUUAUAAAUCAAGCCGAGCAGGGUUCCGGAUACCUCCAGGUGCAACUACCAGUUGGUCUGGCCUUGUUGGAAGAAAAUGGGGCAAAGUCUUACAGGACCGAAACAUGUGACUUUUUUCUGACUCAGCUCCUGAGUGGGGUCUUCCCUCCUCCUACCUGGCUCUGACCCCCAGGGUUUGGUGGCCUGGGACCUGCCAUCAGGAAUGAAGUUUCAUUGGGAUCCUGGUCUCCAGUCAGUGGAAUUAGAGGAUGGACUGUCUUUUUCCCUCCCGUCUGGACAACCCAAAGGAGCACUGCUUGGCUAAGCCUCAGAACCCAAAUCAUUUGUUUUUUUCAGGAUGCUCUGAUAGAAAAUCGGGGCGCAUCCAGGAGGGCCUGUGGUCUUUUCUCCAUUCCAGGUGCUCGGGCUGCUGGCUAGAGCUCCCGACAGCUGAGUCAGGUCCCCCUGGGAUUCCUCUAGACCCUGGAGGCCACUCUGAGCUUCCUGAAUCCUGCCUCAUGCCAGGGCCCUCCCUGAGGCCAUCCCGUCCCUCUGUCCCUCACACCACCCCCUGCCUCUGCUGAGCUCAGGUGCUGCCUGGACCUGCCCUUCCCUCCCCUCCCCUCGGUUUCAAGGUCCCCAGGAGGGUAUUUUGUAGUUUAUGUGCUUGUCUGAAAUAAUCUGGGUGGUUUACAUCCCCCACCUCCCCGACCCCCCACCCUGAAGCGCACCAGCCAGCCUCCCCAGUCCUUCUGCCUCUCACCAGCAAUGAUGUCAUCUGUGUGCCUCUUUAUCACCAGCAGAGGUUUUAUCAAAGGCUCUACAAUUUUAAUUACUGGUUUAAUUUUCCUAGAUGACAACAAAGCAAGCACAUUUUAUCUGGGAGAUUUGUCUCUGGUGAAACAGAGACAGGAAGACAUUGCAAGGAAGAAGCAGGCAAUGGUUUUUCAUUCACUGUGGAGCGCUGUAUAGGCUGAAUAACAGCCACCCACAGAUAGCAAGUCCUAGUCCCCGGAAGCUGUGCCUGUGGCGUUAUUGGGAAGUGGCCCUUUGCAGGUGUGAUUAAGUUCAGGAUCAUGAGAUGAGAUAACUGUGGGUUUUUCAGGUGGGUCCUAAGUGCCGUCGCAAGGGUCCUUGGGAGAGGCAAGAGGAGAUGAUAGGGACACAUAAGGGAAAAGGUGAGAGGAAAACAGAGGGAGACAUAGCCACAAGACAGGAUUGCCUGGAGCCACCAGAGCUGGAAGAGGCCAGGGAGGACUCUCCCCUAGAGCCCCGGGGGACUGCCAACCACCUGACUUCAGACUUCUGGCCUCCAGCUCUGUAAGAGAGUCCAUUUCUAUUGUUUUAAGCCACCCAGGUUGAGGUUAUUAGUUAUAGCAGCCUUGAAAAAAUGAAUAUACACUCUAUUUCUAGGAUGGGGGCAUGGCUUUCUUUCUCAUGAAUGUGGGAUCUGGCCAGGACCUACCCAUGCAUUAUUUCAUUCAUUUGUUUAGCUAACAUUUCAUCUACGUUUCAGGCUCUGUGCUAAGCUCUGGGGACACGAAAGAAUUCAGAAACUAUUCCUGGGCGUUCCCGUCGUGGCGCAGAGGUUAACAAAUCUGACUAGGAACCGUGAGGUUUUGGGUUCGAUCCCUGGCCUUGCUCCGUGGGUUAACGAUCUGGCGUUGCUGUGAGCUGUAGUCCACCGGCCUACGCCAGAGCCACAGCAACGCGGGAUCCGAGCCGCGUCUGCAACCUACACCACAGCUCACGGCAACGCCGGAUCCUUAACCCACUGAGCGAGGGCAGGGACCGAACCCGCAACCUCAUGGUUCCUAGUCGGACUCGUUAACCACUGCACCACGACGGGAACUCCGGGAAGAAAUUUUUUUAAAAACCGGUGUGUCUGUGUGUGUGUGCGGUGGUGGGAGGUAAGGAGUAAACAGGAUGCCCUGACAGUGGAGGAGACAGAAGACAGGGCCCUCCAGUCAUCGUAAGGGUAACCAUCCCUGGGCGUCUGCUCUGUGCCAAGAUCACCCAACACUUCACAGGA